UAGGAACUGAUCCAAACCAUGUUGGAAAAAUUCUCAAAGACUAUACAGUAUCUAUCAUCGCAAUCAUUCGUUUAGAAAACCUCUGCCAAACUUCAGAAUGAAAGUCGAUGAUUUGCUGAAGUCGUAAAGAUCUUUUCUUAUUUGAUAAAACGAGUUUCGUAUAAGAAUCAUUAUACGAGAAAUCUUCAGGCAUUAAAGCAUCACUCUCA
RNAcentral lists this long non-coding RNA (209 nucleotides) under Brassica napus (rape). Its description in RNAcentral is "long non-coding RNA (BNAP_LNC022189)". Lineage: Eukaryota; Viridiplantae; Streptophyta; Magnoliopsida; Brassicales; Brassicaceae. The record is from RNAcentral.